AUUGAACGCUAGCGGGAUGCCUUACACAUGCAAGUCGAACGGAGUGGCGAACGGGUGAGUAAUGUAUCGGAACGUGCCCCGUAGCGGGGGAUAACUACGCGAAAGCGUAGCUAAUACCGCAUACUAUUGGAGCGGCCGCUAUCGGAUUAGCUAGUUGGUGGGGUAACGGCUCACCAAGGCGACGAGCCGUAGCUGGUUUGCGAGGGCGACCAGCCACACUGGGACUGAGACACGGCCCAGACGACUACGGGAGGCAGCAGUGGGGAAUUGUGGGCAAUGGGGGAAACCCUGAUCCAGCCAUUCCGCGUGAGAGAUGAAGGCCUUCGGGUUGUAAAGCACUUUUGGCAGGAAAGCGGUACCUGCAGAAAAAGCACCGGCUAACUACGUGCCAGCAGCCGCGGUAAUUC
Molecule: ribosomal RNA, 407 nt
Filed under: uncultured bacterium
Lineage: Bacteria
Description: partial 16S ribosomal RNA
Rfam family: Bacterial small subunit ribosomal RNA
Source: RNAcentral